Molecule: signal recognition particle RNA, 148 nt
Filed under: Pan troglodytes (chimpanzee)
Lineage: Eukaryota; Metazoa; Chordata; Mammalia; Primates; Hominidae
Description: Metazoan signal recognition particle RNA
Rfam family: Metazoan signal recognition particle RNA
About the family: The signal recognition particle (SRP) is a universally conserved ribonucleoprotein.
Source: Rfam by way of RNAcentral
GCUGGGUGUGGUGGCGCACGCCUGUAAUCCCAGCUACUUGGGAGGCUGAGGCAGGAGAAUUGCUUGAACCCGGGAGGCGAAGGUCGCAGUGAGCCGAGAUCGCGCCACUGCACUCCAGCCUGGGUGACAGAGCAAGAUCCUGUCUCAA